RNAcentral lists this ribosomal RNA (306 nucleotides) under uncultured bacterium. RNAcentral's name for it is "partial 16S ribosomal RNA". It matches the Rfam family "Bacterial small subunit ribosomal RNA", at positions 507 to 807 of the family's 1533-position model. The record is from RNAcentral.
GACAGCAGUCGCCGCGGUAAUACAGAGGGUGCGAGCGUUAAUCGGAUUUACUGGGCGUAAAGCGUGCGUAGGCGGCUUUUUAAGUCGGAUGUGAAAUCCCUGAGCUUAACUUAGGAAUUGCAUUCGAUACUGGGAAGCUAGAGUAUGGGAGAGGAUGGUAGAAUUCCAGGUGUAGCGGUGAAAUGCGUAGAGAUCUGGAGGAAUACCGAUGGCGAAGGCAGCCAUCUGGCCUAAUACUGACGCUGAGGUACGAAAGCAUGGGGAGCAAACAGGAUUAGAUACCCCUGUAGUCCCUGUCUCUUAUAC